AUUGAACGCUGGCGGCAUGCCUUACACAUGCAAGUCGAACGGCAGCACGGGAGCAAUCCUGGUGGCGAGCGGCGAACGGGUGAGUAAUAUAUCGGAACGUGCCCAGUCGUGGGGGAUAACGCAGCGAAAGCUGUGCUAAUACCGCAUACGAUCUAAGGAUGAAAGCGGGGGAUCGCAAGACCUCGCGCGAUUGGAGCGGCCGAUAUCGGAUUAGCUAGUUGGUGGGGUAAAGGCCCACCAAGGCGACGAUCUGUAGCUGGUCUGAGAGGACGACCAGCCACACUGGAACUGAGACACGGUCCAGACUCCUACGGGAGGCAGCAGUGGGGAAUUUUGGACAAUGGGCGCAAGCCUGAUCCAGCAAUGCCGCGUGCAGGAUGAAGGCCUUCGGGUUGUAAACUGCUUUUGUACGGAACGAAACGGCCCUUUCUAAUACAGGGGGCUAAUGACGGUACCGUAAGAAUAAGCACCGGCUAACUACGUGCCAGCAGCCGCCGUAA
Molecule: ribosomal RNA, 500 nt
Filed under: uncultured bacterium
Lineage: Bacteria
Description: partial 16S ribosomal RNA
Rfam family: Bacterial small subunit ribosomal RNA
Source: RNAcentral